Musa acuminata AAA Group (dessert banana) is the source of this 3236-nucleotide long non-coding RNA. RefSeq lists it as uncharacterized. The record is from RefSeq and is a predicted model, not a curated record. The transcript has 5 exons. Lineage: Eukaryota; Viridiplantae; Streptophyta; Magnoliopsida; Zingiberales; Musaceae.
UUCCCACUCUUCUUUGUCUUUUCCCCCCAUUCAUCUCGCUCCAAACCCUCGUCCCCUGCUCUUCCCCAAUGCCGCUCUCGGGUUCCAAGAUCACCUCUCGCUCCUCCUCUGUCCCCGCUUAUCGGCGAAACCCCCAUUUUCACGGCCGCCGCGGUAGAUCCAGCACGAGGAGCGCUCCGGUUGGUGGUUGUCGCAAUAGCUCCAGCGAGGGGAGCAAUAGCCGAGAUCUUCGAUCAAGUGAUCGAGAAGAAGUUUUCAGACAGUCACGUUCGUAUCUUCCUUAUUUUCUUUUCUGUUUUGGUUGCACUGGAGCUUUGUGAUCCCGCUUUUGUACUAAAGAUUUUAGGGAAUCCUCUUUCUUGGAUCUUCAAAAAAUUGAGUAUCCCUGAUUAGAAGAAAUAAUAGUUGAUCGCCUGAGGAAGGAUCCUAUAUUCGUGUAGGCUUAUGGUAAUAUAGUUCUUGAUUCCUUCAGGGUCGGUUGGAGAGCUUCUAUAUUAAUAUGAUUUCAUAGAAGUUCAGAUUAAGUUUUAUUAAUCUGAACAAACAGCCCCUAUUAAUAUGAUUUCGUAGAAGUUUCGAUUAGAUAUGAUUAAUCUGAACAAAUAGCUUCAAAAAGCACAUGCCGGUACGAAGCUGUCAGUUAACAAGCAACAAGCAGUGGAUUCCGAUAAGGAGUUCAUCUCUGUUCUUUAUUUUUAGUGUUAAUUGAGAAUGGGAAAUAAGUAUAUGUACAGUGGAAAAGAGAGAUACAGGAGAUGGAUGAGAGAGACAAGAGGAGUAAUAGGGAAAAAUGAAGAGAUAAAGAGGUACAUAGAAGGAAAGUGGAUGACAGAGAGAGAAAAAGGGUAGAAGGGGGUAUAAAAAUUUUUGCUGAGCUUCUUGCGGAAAAAAAAUAGAGGAACUUGUUUGGACGAUUGUCACAUAAAUAUAGAUUACUAUCUCGACUGUCCAAGUAGAUUGAAGGUCGAAUUGAUUAAUUUUUAAAUGGAUUUAUAUAAAUGCAUGAGUAUAUGUAUAUGUGUGUGUUUGUGUGAAAGUGGCUGUAUGUGUAUGUGUGUCUAUGUGCAAGUGGCCGUAUAUAUUUGUGUAUAUGAUAUAGCUAAUUUUAGUUGUUGCAUGCAGAUUAAUUUCAGAUUUAGUAAUUGUGAUUGUUUCAGCUAUCAUCAACGAUAUUACCUUUUCCUGCCUGGGACAGCCAGUGUGAGUAGUCAUAAUUAUUGUUUAGCCAUAACUUAUUGAUUGUAAACUGCCUCAAUAUAUUUUUCUUCAGUAGACCUUUUUGCUCACCGUACAAUUCCAUGUAUAAGAUCACUGUUGGUUAUCUUCUUACUGAAUCUUUCAUUGGAACCAGUUGGAGCAUGUGAUUUACUAGUAAAAUAGUGCAGAUAACUCCAGCAAGUUACCAUGUUCUUUUUCUUUUCUGUGUUGUUUCUACUCAUGUUUCUUCAACAGGAUGCUUUUUAUGUGGUUUAUAAAAUGCCUCAACUAAGUUAUAGUUGUUUCGACCUUUAAAUAUGUGGAUAUGUCUGGCAGAGACCUUGUGUCUCCUGGAACUGAACAAUCAACAUGUUGAACAAACAAUAAAAACAGCAGUAUACCUAUAGGAAGGCAAAUGAUGUCCAAUUCCAUAAAAUUUUCUUCACUAUUCUUGCAUGAUUACAUAUUUGACAAUUAAUUUUAUGACCGUUUCCGUUAAUUGUUGCAGCACACUUUUUUCUUGAACUGGAAAUCAAGUAUCAUCCGUGUUUCUAUUAUACAAACAAAUGGAACUUCUGGCUUUGAAAUAUUUGGUUGUGUUGAAAAAGUUGGUCAUAAAAGCUGGAAAUGUUUGUUGAGUUCAAGCCAUUACUUCAGGUAUAUCAAACUGGACUUUCAAUAGCAUAAAUGCCUAGAAACAAAAGCGUUACAUGGGAUAACAUGUUGUAAGCAUAUUUGACCAUGUUGCUGGGUUAAUGUGUUGCUGGGGUUUUGCAUUAUGCAUUCACAAGGACCAACCGUUUUCCAUAUGUAACAGUGGGCAUGAGACAGGCAUAUAAUUGGCAUGGACAUCGCAUAGCCCCUUCGCCAUGGAAGGUAUCUUAAUGAUAAGCGGUCUCAUACAAGCUUUACCUUAUUUUCUUCAGCUGUGGCGGUAACUUUUCGAUGAUGUAUGGUCACUUGAUUUUGGAUCUCUGCAACCAGGAGGAGACUAUUGCACAAUUUAGUGUCGUGUUUCUCCUUUCUGCGCUGUGUCCAGAGAUUUCCUGUACUAAGCUAUGUGGUGGAAAAUCGUCAGAAGGCAUAAUUAUUGGUUCUUUCUUAUCUAUGUCAUAGGCAGCAGUGGCAUUAAAAUUUUAAGUGGGAAACAACAUCACAAAUUCCUACAUGGCCAAGUGAUAAAUGGUGCACUCCGGCAACAGGAGGUGGGAAACCUUGGCAAUGUUGGCGGGAAAGAUUUGUUUCGUAAUUUGUAUCUCAUCACCCCAACCACUCUCUUUACGUGGAAGAAGAGUUGGAAACAAAUGGGAGAAGGACGGCGCUCUUUGGUCUGGCCCUUCGAUUCCGUCCCAUGGCAUCAACGAGCGAGAAGAGCCCCACGGAGCGAAAUCCGCCGCCGCCUCCUGCACUCGUCCCACCAAUUCGAAACCCUUACUUGGAUCUCGUCUCCUUCUUCUCCCGAAGGCGAAGACGGGACGGACCGUGGUGAUGGAAGUCGCGGCGGGAGAAGGGGAAGGAGACUGCCUUCUCUGAAAAAUGUUUCGGCAGUUGUUUCACGAAGUCAGAGCACCAGUUUCAGCCUACAUGCGGCAGCCAAGAAUCCAAGGUCAUUCUGCCUAAAGAGGAACACAACGGACCUACAAGACUUCCUUGAAAGGAGAAUUCCUUUCCACGGAUAUAGUUACCCUGCAGCGCCACCCUCCUGACUGUCUGAUUCUGAUCCAAGAACUUAACAUGGCUUGGUUGAGCUUCGCUACAGGUUUCUCCAUACAAACUAUGGUAUGCAUACUGUGAUGAAACGAAAUAUAAGUUUGGAUCACCUGUACGUGAGUGUAUUCUCACUCAAAUAUUUCUCCAUCAUCACCAUCUAAAAAUUAGUUGCAUGUCACUAGACCUUUCUCCAUCAUAAGUGUUUGAUUCAGUAUAUUUUUUCUGAUGAUUCUCAAAAUUAUGUACAUGCGAACUGUUCUUGAAAUUCCAGUUUUCUGACUGUGGACAUUUGACCACAAUUAAUGCAUUUCAGAAUGGAUUUGUGACUA